GACGAACGCUGGCGGCGUGCUUAACACAUGCAAGUCGAACGGAAAGGCCCUGCUUUUGUGGGGUGCUCGAGUGGCGAACGGGUGAGUAACACGUGAGUAACCUGCCCUUGACUUUGGGAUAACUUCAGGAAACUGGGGCUAAUACCGGAUAGGAGCUCCUGCUGCAUGGUGGGGGUUGGUAAGUUUCGGCGGUUGGGGAUGUACUCGCGGCUUCUCAGCUUGUUUGUGGGGUAGUUGCUUACCAAGGGUUUGACGGGUAGCCGGCCUGAGAGGGGGAACGGGCAACAUGGGACUGAGGAACGGACCAGAAGGCAACGGGGGGCAAGAGGGGGGAAAAUUGCAAAAUGGGGCGGAGGCAGAUGGAAGAACGCCGGGAGGGGGAAGAACGGCUUUGGGGUGGAAAACAGUUUGGGCGUGAAAGGAGCGGGAGUGACGGUAAAUGGUAAAAAAGGAACGGCUAACUACGGG
Molecule: ribosomal RNA, 468 nt
Filed under: uncultured bacterium
Lineage: Bacteria
Description: partial 16S ribosomal RNA
Rfam family: Bacterial small subunit ribosomal RNA
Source: RNAcentral